UGGGGAAUAUUGCGCAAUGGGCGAAAGCCUGACGCAGCGACGCCGCGUGAGGGAUGACGGCCUUCGGGUUGUAAACCUCUUUCAGUAGGGACGAAGCGCAAGUGACGGUACCUACAGAAGAAGCACCGGCCAACUACGUGCCAGCAGCCGCGGUAAUACGUAGGGUGCAAGCGUUGUCCGGAAUUAUUGGGCGUAAAGAGCUCGUAGGCGGUCUGUCACGUCGGCUGUGAAAACCCGGGCUCAACCUCGGGCCUGCAGUCGAUACGGGCAAACUAGAGUACUGCAGGGGAGACUGGAAUUCCUGGUGUAGCGGUGAAAUGCGCAGAUAUCAGGAGGAACACCGGUGGCGAAGGCGGGUCUCUGGGCAGUAACUGACGCUGAGGAGCG
RNAcentral lists this ribosomal RNA (387 nucleotides) under uncultured bacterium. RNAcentral describes it as "bacterial SSU rRNA". It matches the Rfam family "Bacterial small subunit ribosomal RNA", at positions 355 to 755 of the family's 1533-position model. The record is from RNAcentral.